Molecule: ribosomal RNA, 229 nt
Filed under: uncultured bacterium
Lineage: Bacteria
Description: partial 16S ribosomal RNA
Rfam family: Bacterial small subunit ribosomal RNA
Source: RNAcentral
CUCGUAGGCGGCCUGCCAAGUCUCACGUGAAAGACCAGGGCUCAACCCUGGGAACGCGAGAGAAACUGGCAAGCUGGAAUCUUUGAGGGGGUACUGGAAUUCCUGGUGUAGGGGUGAAAUCUGUUGAUAUCAGGAAGAACACCGGAGGCGAAGGCGAGUACCUGGCAAAUGAUUGACGCUGAUGAGCGAAAGCGUAGGGAGCGAACAGGAUUAGAUACCCUGGUAGUCC